CAUAAACGCUGUGUUUGCCGGA
This 22-nucleotide non-coding RNA is filed under the name Arabidopsis thaliana (thale cress). Lineage: Eukaryota; Viridiplantae; Streptophyta; Magnoliopsida; Brassicales; Brassicaceae. The record is from RNAcentral.